Molecule: non-coding RNA, 999 nt
Organism: Oryctolagus cuniculus (rabbit)
Lineage: Eukaryota; Metazoa; Chordata; Mammalia; Lagomorpha; Leporidae
Source: RefSeq, a predicted model, not a curated record
UGUUCCCUCUGUAGGUUCCCACCGGCCAGGCCUCGUCUCCUCCCUUCCAAGGGCUUGCUCACCUGCUGCUGCACCUGCUGCUGUGGCAGUUUUACACUGAACUCAGAUCCGCUCCCAGAUGCUUCAACACACACACGGUUUGUGCCCGGGAUAUGAGGCCUGAUGUGCAGCCAAGUGUGAAAUGUCUUUCACACACACGUCACAGGGUGACGACCUGAAAGCAGAGAAAUGCCGGCCAAGUUCACGUAAACUCUGAUAACAGCAAACGGCCCCAUCGCAUGUGCCCACCUGACCCAGGGAUGAGUUCACGGGAUUGUUGGAAACAUACGAAACCUUGGGUAAUGUCCACUGCUCCUCAGAAGGGGACGUUGCCAAGGCUGUUCUGCAUUCUGUAUUGCUGAAGCUCAAGGAUGCAUUCAAGUUCAAGGGCCUGGAGGGAGGACAGAAGCCUGAAUAAACUUUGGUCAAAUCAUGUUAGCUCAUUUUUUGGGGUUAUAUUCUUUUCUGUUAAUUUGUAGAUUCAUAUCAUUAUUUGAAUUUCAUUUAUGGGUGGUUUAUUUUGUGAGACCUUUGAUAUACGGGGAAAAUAUUCAUAAUACUACUAAGCAUUAAUUUCUUAAUUAAUUGUAAUUUCCCACCAAAUGUUGAAACUGUUGAUUGUUUUCCCCUCAUUGUUGGGGAUGAAAGGUUUGACUGUAGGACUCCAAAAGCGGUGUCCUCUUGUGACGACCCCAGAAACACAGACUCCAGACCAGACGAUGCAAUAGAACAGGAGGUAAUUUUAUUUCAUUUGUACAAAUGGGCCCUCUACUGCUGCAAGCAGCAAGCAAGCGAGAGGAGCCCCGAGCAGCUAUCUCACACAGCUUUUAAAGGGCAAAACCACAAAAUUAACAUAUUAUAGGCUGGUGUAAGUUCAUUGGAUAAUUUUCAGUAGCGGGCCUUGUAUGGCAGUCUAAAAGUGGUAAUGUUGGUGGAAAAGUACUAGGUCAAAGGGAUACA